AUCUUCAUCCCUUCCUUCCUUUUAAUUAAUGUCUAAGUUAUCUUUUUGCUUGAGUUUCCUUCUGGUGUGUUUGUGGUGCCCGGCUCUCCUCACUAGUUUGCUUUGCCACUGUAUAAUUGUCAGUCCCAGCCAGGCGCCUCUUCCAUGUAAAGAUAUCGGCAGCUUCAAGCCUUGCCAAUAUCUCAACCCGUACCUGAAUGUGAAUUAACCGAAAUUCCUGUAAAUGUCUGCACGGUGCUCUCUCUCAUAAUGCUUCUUUAAAUUUUCAGUCUCGGUCACCUUACGGGAUUAGUACUAGAUUUUGCCAUGAGUUCACUUCCCCGUGAUGGCCAGUUUCAUGCACUAUAUAUAAGUAAUUUGCCUUUUGCAUGGCUAUAAUUCAGCACCCGUGUCUAAAUGUUCCCUUUUCUUAUAUGCUUCUCUGUUUUGCAGGAUGCCGCGGCCGGACCAAGAGGAGGACUCAUCGCGAUGACACCAACGGUUUGGUUAAGUGGGUUCUUUAGUGUGUGCGUUUGUGUGUGAAUGGCAGGCCUGCCGUAUGAUUGUGUCUCUUGUGUGUGUGUGCGGGGCGGUUUGCCCUCGCGCUAGGAUUUUGUUAGGAUGUACAUUUUUGUGUGUGAACUUUUUGCACGUAAUCUUUUUUUAAAUCCAUAGCUAGCGUUUGUGUGUGUAGCUGUGUUCCGGGAGAUGGACGCCGGGGGACAUGGGUCGGGGGCGACACACGUGACCUCUUCCGUCCGUGACCUCUUCAGUCGGAGAGACCUCGUGUUGCCCCGGCUGGAGAGACACGUUGAUGGAGGCGGCUGCGUGUGUCAUCCCUUGCCUGUAUCCUCUGGCGUCCAGAGGCGCGUAAGUGGAGAGCAUCGGCGCAGCGCGGGAGCAGCACGUCAGGGUGUAGGGUGUUUGUUUAGCUGGUGUAGGGUGUUAGGGUGUUAGGUGUAACAACGGUUGGCUCUUUCACAGAACGGGUGUGAUUCCGUUCUGCGUUUGAGUCUUCCACCUUCAGACGGUCUCCCUCCGAGAUGUCUGAAGUUUUUUUGUCGGUUUUCUCCGUAGGAGGAAGCCGACUCUAGCUACUCUGGCCUCUCUUCCGGGGGUCAGAGCGGUCGGGCUCUGCUUGGCCAGGCGUUGCCUUUCGCGUUGUCUCCGCCGAAGUUUUGCCAGACUCUUCCGUAAGGUUGAGCCUGGCUUUUUUAUUAGGUGGAUCAGGCUGCCUUCUUCCAAGGAGUCUGAUGGGAGUGGAGUCUUUUUUUUGGUGUAUGUCUGUGGGUACUUAGUGGGUAAGGGAGGGUGGGGUAGAAUGGUUGGUGGGCUGGAAGUGGGUUGGGGGAUGAGUCUCCUGGGAUUUGGGUUGUGUCGAGCCUUACCGCCUGGUGUGUUGGGUAACCUUCACGCCAGGGGGGGGGUGCCAAGACUAUAUCCAUCUCCUGGGCAGGGCGAUUCCCCUUUCCCAUGCUAACUGGCCCUCCUCCGUCUGCCUCCCCAAACCCCCGCUAAGUGCUUGUGUGUGUUAUUUUAUUUAGGAUGUCUUUUUUUUCGAUGCCUUUUUCCCGUGUGUUUAUACCCAAUAGCUAGCGUGUGUGUGUGUGGCAGUCCGGAGGCGCGUGCAGCGAGGACAUCACAUCACGUCACUACGGUAUAUCCACGGUAUUUGGUUUAGUGUGUGCUGUGUGUGUUUGUGUGUGUGAUGGCAGGCCUGCCGUGUGUUUGACCUUUUGCUGUGUGUUGCUGUGUGACUGCUAGGAUUUCAUUUCUAUGUAUGUUUUUUUCCCCAUAACCCCCUUCCUCCCUAGCUCUUUAGCUGUUGUCCCUGGCGAGGCGCUGGGUGGAUGCUGCCGGGCGACCAACGGCGGUGGCGGUGUGCAACGCGGGAGCUGCUGAGGUUUGGGGUAGCACUACGGUGCAGGUUAUGUAGGGUGUGUGAGUUUUUUUUUUGUGUGAGUGUCUUUUUUUUGUGUGGGGUGUUGGCGGGGGACUUAGCUAAUCACUGUGUCAGGAAGGCAUGGGCGUGGCCGUCUGUCCAUCAGGCCGACGGGCGGGUGUGCCACCUGGCAGUCAGGCUAGCAGGUGACAGGCAAGCUAUCUGGUGGUCAGGCUGUCAGUCGGGCCAUCAGAUAGGUAGGCAGGCCACCUUGCGGUCGGGUUGUCGGGCGGGCACUCCACCCUCGGUCAGGUAGGCAGGCAGCAGCGUCUACGCUGAGCCGUACGGCUACACGUACGAACGCACGGAACCCGUACGCUACGUUCCGCUGCACUGACGCUCGUCGUACCUCUGCUCGCACGCUUGCGGGCGGGUUGGGGGCGGGGGGCGGAUGGGCGGACGGGCGGGCGUACGUGGGAACGGGCGGGCGGACGGGUGGUCGGGCGGUUAGGGAGUCGGAGCAACGCUUGAAAGACGCGCAGAUAGAUGUCAGAUUCUCCCGUAGGGAGGUCUGGCAAGGUGAUAGUGUGGGCGGCGGGGUUUUACGCGGGUGAGUCCGUGUUAGAGCUUUGCUGCCAGGGUAGCUCCUUCCGAGCUGCCUGAACUGAGGACCAGUUUUCCUCACAGGAGGAGGCUGGUGGAGUCUAGGGUGUUAGGGGUAUAACGGUUGGCUCUUUCACAGAACGGGUGUGAUUCCGUUCUGCGUUUGAGUCUGCUGCCUUUGGGCAUCUCCCUCCGAGAUGUCGGUUAGGAUUUCUUUUUUUUAUAUGUCCGUGUGUGUAACUGUUGCCUUUUAGCCUGUUGUGUUCCUGAGCAGCAAGAAGAGGAGGCUGUGGUGACCCGCCCGAUGCGGAAGGCUUCUGGGCUCUCUCGGCGGGGGCGCACCUCUCUGGCUGACUGGUUAAGGGAGGGCUUCCCGUCUGGCCGGCUGUAGGUUCGGUCCCAGGAUUGAACCCAUGGCUUGCCAGAUGGAGGGCUGCGCCUUUGACCAGGUGGCCGGGGAGGCGCCUCCUCGCUGGGCAGGGUCUGGGGGCCCUCCGUUUUGGGGAGGUCGCUGCAGCAGGAGGAGGUAAUUAGGCGCUGGUUUUGUAAGGCAUUGUGGUUGAGAGCACCUUGCAGCUGUGACGCGAAUUUCGUUCCGUAAUAAACAAUGUACCGCCAUGAUGCCUGUCCUUCCUCCCUCCCAGCACUGUGUACGUCUGUGUGUGUGUGGCUUAAUUCUCCCUCCCAGCACUGUGUACGUCUGUGUGUGUGUGGCUUAAUUCUCCCUCCCAGCACUGUGCGUACGUCUGUGUGUGUGUGGCUUAAUUCUCCCUCCCAGCACUGUGUACGUCUGUGUGUGUGUGGCUUAAUUCUCCCUCCCAGCACUGUGCGUACGUCUGUGUGUGUGUGGCUUAAUUCUCCCUCCCAGCACUGUGUACGUCUGUGUGUGUGUGGCUUAAUUCUCCCUCCCAGCACUGUGUACGUCUGUGUGCGUGUGGCUUAAUUCUCCCUCCCAGCACUGUGUACGUCUGUGUGUGUGUUGCUUAAUUCUCCCUCCCAGCACUGUGCGUACGUCUGUGUGUGUGUUGCUUAAUUCUCCCUCUUUUUUGACAAAGAUAAAAAAAACUGCGGAUUUGCCGUUAUCACUUUGUAUGUGGGCUUUUUUUUCUUUUCUCUCUGUCUCUGUUUAUCUGUCUAUCUGUCUGUCUCUCUAUCUCUCAAUCUCUGUCUCUGUCUGUCUCUGUUUAUCUGUCUAUCUGUCUGUCUCUCUAUCUCUCAAUCUCUCUGUCUCUGUCUGUCUCUGUUUAUCUGUCUAUCUGUCUGUCUCUCUAUCUCUCAAUCUCUCUGUCUCUGUCUCUCUCUGUUUCUCUGUCUCUCAAUCUCUCUCUCUAGUUAAUAAAGAACAGAUAACGAUUGCCAUGGAAGACUCUACAGUAUACAAAAGACUCUACAGUAUACAAAAGACUCUACAGUAUACAAGACUCUACAGUAUACAGAAGACUCUACAGUAUACAUCCCUUCCCUCUACGGCCGCUGCUGCUCUACCCGGGCAUUGCCACAUCCACUCGGGUAUACAAGAAACCAUCGCGGCCGAGCUUCAACCACAGAACACACUGUUGCCGUUGAUGAGGUUCCACGCCCCGCUCCACCGCCAUGUUAGCCUUGAUAAUAAUCCUCGGCGCACUUAUUCUGAGACGUCGCAGUGAUCUGGAGAACUACACAACACUGGUCCUUCGCUGAGUGGUUGAUUUCCUGGUCUACCGUUCCUAUGGAGGGGAGGACUCGCACAUGCAAUAAGCACCUGUCUGACCUGGAGACUUCCCCCUGAGCCUGACGGUGGAUCUGUGGGCCCUGCAGCAGACCCCCACACACACCCCACACCACCCACAGCAGGGGCAGGACCUGGAGACUCCCCCCUGAGCCUGAUGGUGGAGCUGUGGGCCCUGCACCAGACCCCCACACACACCCACA
Long non-coding RNA from Eriocheir sinensis (Chinese mitten crab), 4375 nucleotides. RefSeq lists it as uncharacterized. The transcript has 5 exons. Lineage: Eukaryota; Metazoa; Arthropoda; Malacostraca; Decapoda; Varunidae. The record is from RefSeq and is a predicted model, not a curated record.